This 443-nucleotide ribosomal RNA is filed under the name uncultured bacterium. RNAcentral's name for it is "partial 16S ribosomal RNA". It matches the Rfam family "Bacterial small subunit ribosomal RNA", at positions 338 to 795 of the family's 1533-position model. The record is from RNAcentral.
CCUACGGGUGGCAGCAGUGGGGAAUAUUGCACAAUGGGCGCAAGCCUGACCCAGCAACGCCGCGUGAAGGAAGAAGGCUUUCGGGUUGUAAACUUCUUUUGUCAGGGACGAAACAAGUGACGGUACCUGACUAAUAAGCCACGGCUAACUACGUGCCAGCAGCCGCGGUAAUACGUAGGUGGCAAGCGUUAUCCGGAUUUACUGGGUGUAAAGGGCGUGUAGGCGGGAGUGCAAGCGAGAUGUGAAAACGAUGGGCUGAACCUGUGGCCUGCAUUUGAAACUGUCGAUCUAGAGUACUGGAGAGGCAAGCGGAAUUCCUAGUGUAGCGGUGAAAUGCGUAGAUAUUAGGAGGAACACCAGUGGCGAAGGCGGUCUGCUGGACAGCAACUGACGCUGAGGCGCGAAAGCGUGGGGAGCAAACAGGAUUAGAUACCCUAGUAGUC